RNAcentral lists this ribosomal RNA (668 nucleotides) under uncultured bacterium. RNAcentral's name for it is "bacterial SSU rRNA". It matches the Rfam family "Bacterial small subunit ribosomal RNA", at positions 8 to 665 of the family's 1533-position model. The record is from RNAcentral.
AGAGUUUGAUCAUGGCUCAGAUUGAACGCUGGCGGCAUGCCUAGCACAUGCAAGUCGAACGGCAGCACAGCAGAGCUUGCUCUGUGGGUGGCGAGUGGCGGACGGGUGAGUAAUGCAUCGGGACCUACCUGAACGUGGGGGAUAACGUAGGGAAACUUACGCUAAUACCGCAUACGUCCUACGGGAGAAAGCGGGGGACCCUCGGGCCUCGCGCGGUCAGACGGACCGAUGUUCGAUUAGCUAGUUGGUAAGGUAAUGGCUUACCAAGGCGACGAUCGAUAGCUGGUCUGAGAGGAUGAUCAGCCACACUGGAACUGAGACACGGUCCAGACUCCUACGGGAGGCAGCAGUGGGGAAUAUUGGACAAUGGGCGCAAGCCUGAUCCAGCAAUGCCACGUGUGUGAAGAAGGCCUUCGGGUUGUAAAGCACUUUUAUCAGGAACGAAAUACCAUUGGUUAAUACCCGGUGGGGCUGACGGUACCUGAGGAAUAAGCACCGGCUAACUUCGUGCCAGCAGCCGCGGUAAUACGAAGGGUGCAAGCGUUAAUCGGAAUUACUGGGCGUAAAGGGUGCGUAGGCGGUUUGUUAAGUCUGUUGUGAAAUCCCCGGGCCCAACCUGGGAAUGGCAAUGGAUACUGGCAAGCUAGAGUGUGUCAGAGGAUGGCGGA